AUGGCUACGCCCUCGAAGGCUAGCGGAUCGCGAUCCAAAGCUCCUGAAGAUCCUAGUGUUUUAUUGAAACAUUUGCAUCUCAAGGAGCAUGAGUUGGGUAAUCUAGUUUGGGAAUAAGAAGCGGACGAACCAGAUGAGAAACCAAAGUGGCCUGCGCUGGCUAGGGUUUUGACGAACAAAUCCUUUGGGCAGGGGGUGUUGAUUGCCGACAUGAAAGCGGCUUGGAACCCUGCCAAGGAGAUGGUUUGGAGAAGGAUUAACCCUAACAUGUUUUCGGUACAAUUUAAUUGUCUAGCAGACUGGAAUAAGGCGCUCCAUGAUGGUCCUUGGGAUUUCAGGGGCAUGGCUCAUUGCUGA
This 357-nucleotide ribosomal RNA is filed under the name Triticum aestivum (bread wheat). RNAcentral's name for it is "partial small subunit ribosomal RNA". Lineage: Eukaryota; Viridiplantae; Streptophyta; Magnoliopsida; Poales; Poaceae. The record is from RNAcentral.